AUUGAACGCUGGCGGCAUGCUUUACACAUGCAAGUCGAACGGCAGCGCGGGCUUCGGCCUGGCGGCGAGUGGCGAACGGGUGAGUAAUACAUCGGAACGUGCCCAGUAGUGGGGGAUAGCUCGGCGAAAGCCGGAUUAAUACCGCAUACGACCUGAGGGUGAAAGCGGGGGAUCUUCGGACCUCGCGCUAUUGGAGCGGCCGAUGGCAGAUUAGCUAGUUGGUGGGGUAAAGGCCUACCAAGGCGACGAUCUGUAGCUGGUCUGAGAGGACGACCAGCCACACUGGGACUGAGACACGGCCCAGACUCCUACGGGAGGCAGCAGUGGGGAAUUUUGGACAAUGGGCGAAAGUCUGAUCCAGCAAUGCCGCGUGUGAUGAAGGCCUUCGGGUUGUAAAGCACUUUUGGCGGGAACGAAAAGGACUGUGCCAAUACCACGGUUCGAUGACGGUACCCGCAGAAUAAGCACCGGCUAACUACGUG
RNAcentral lists this ribosomal RNA (482 nucleotides) under uncultured bacterium. Its description in RNAcentral is "partial 16S ribosomal RNA". It matches the Rfam family "Bacterial small subunit ribosomal RNA", at positions 29 to 507 of the family's 1533-position model. The record is from RNAcentral.